UACGGGGGGAGCUAGGGUUAUUCGUAAUAAUUGGGCGUAAAGGGCGCGUAGGCGGCUCGGCACGUCCGUUGUGAAAUCGCCCGGCUCAACUGGGCGGGGUCGGCGGAUACGGCCGAGCUGGAGCAAGCUAGGGGGUAAUGGAAUUCCCGGUGUAGUGGUGGAAUGCGUAGAUAUCGGGAGGAACACCAGUGGCGAAGGCGGUUACCUGGAGCUUUGCUGACGCUGAUGCGCGAAAGCGUGGGGAGCGAUCCGG
This 253-nucleotide ribosomal RNA is filed under the name uncultured bacterium. RNAcentral describes it as "partial 16S ribosomal RNA". It matches the Rfam family "Bacterial small subunit ribosomal RNA", at positions 524 to 776 of the family's 1533-position model. The record is from RNAcentral.